AAAUAUGCGACUUCCUCUGAAUUUAAAAGGAGAAUCAACUGAAACCAGUGAGACUUUCACACUUCACUCAUCCCGUGCUGCAGAGCUGAGCUCUCCAAAACAACCCAAAUCCAUGUAUGCAAUGGAGGCAAUAUAUGCCAAUGAUGAAUGUGUUAAACCUGACAACCCAACACCUUCAACAAAUUACACAGGUCAGAGGAGCUCUAGGAGAAGUUUCUAUUUGGGUGUUAUUCUCUCCCUGAGCUGCUCACUGUUUUAUUGCUGGUUGGACUUAUCACACUUAGUUUCUUCUACCACAAUUCAGCUGAACAUGUGUCGGCACAGGCUGAGAAGAGCAACCUGCUGACUAAAAACAUCUCUGCAGUCAGUAACCAACUUUCUUCCAUGACUGAGGAGCGAGAUCUGCUGACUAAAAACUUCUCUGCAGUCAGUAACCAACUUUCUUCCAUGACUGAGGAGCGAGAUCUGCUGACUAAAAAGACUGAAGAGCUUAAAAAGCAGAGUGAGUCCUUGUGUGAGCUGUUGUGUCUCUAAAUGUUUUUUCUCGGAAAUGUAGUGAUUCAUUUUCCAAACAAAUGGUGUAAUCAUUUUCUUCUGACUUAACACAUUUUUAAAAUCAAAUUUCAGUCAUUAGGAAAAUAUCAUAUGAACCAUUAAAGCUGCAGUGCAGCACUGUACCUUAUGCUUGUCACAAAUUUACAUUUACAAAUCUGAAUGGUACUAAAAUAAUUUAAGGGCUGUAUUUCAUCGACACAUAUGUGAAAUGUAUUUAAUGGUGUUUAGUGACUUAUAAAAUGAUUGAAUCCACAACAAGUAUCCUUAAUGUAUUUUCAUUAAGGAAGUUGAAAAGGAAGCUGAUAGCCCUUACACUGACACUACAUAUUCUUAUUUUUAUCUCAAUAUCCUUUAAAUCUUUUUUUAACUGUUAUUUUACUUGUUUCAUCUGUGGUCAUGUUUGAUUCAGUUGUGAUGCAUCUUUUCACCGAGACAUCACUUUCUGAUCUACAGGUUUGUUUAGAGAUUCACAAAUCACUGAGUCUCUAAACACAACCUUCUAUCAGUUUCACCCAGUUGUUAGAAGUUAGGAGCAGUUACUGUAGCUGCAUUUUGCAUAUUGCGUAAAACUUAGGUAGAUUGCAGUUUUAUGGUUACUUUAAUUUUUUUACUUUUACUCUGGAAAAGACAGCAAAAAUAGUGAGAUGUUAACCUGCAGAAGACUGAUAAUAACAGACCUUCUUCACAGCCAUUCAACAAAACAAA
This is a long non-coding RNA of Haplochromis burtoni (Burton's mouthbrooder), 1260 nucleotides long. RefSeq lists it as uncharacterized. Lineage: Eukaryota; Metazoa; Chordata; Actinopteri; Cichliformes; Cichlidae. The record is from RefSeq and is a predicted model, not a curated record. The transcript has 3 exons.